Molecule: unclassified non-coding RNA, 19 nt
Filed under: Mus musculus (house mouse)
Lineage: Eukaryota; Metazoa; Chordata; Mammalia; Rodentia; Muridae
Description: oocyte_clustered_small_RNA9678
Source: RNAcentral
UUCGGCUUGGGCAGGCCCC